RNAcentral lists this long non-coding RNA (1891 nucleotides) under Homo sapiens (human). RNAcentral describes it as "novel transcript". The record is from RNAcentral. Lineage: Eukaryota; Metazoa; Chordata; Mammalia; Primates; Hominidae.
GUCUCUGGUAUCUCCCGCUGAGCUGCUCUGUUCCCGGCUUAGAGGACCAGGAGAAGGGGGAGUUGGAGGCUGGAGCCUGUAACACCGUGGCUCGUCUCGCUCUGGAUGGUGGUGGCAACAGAGAUGGCAGCGCAGCUGGAGUGUUAGGAGGGCGGCCUGAGCGGUAGGAGUGGGGCUGGAGCAGUAAGAUGGCGGCCGGAGCAGUAAGAUGGCGGCUGGAGUGGUUUUUCUGGCAUUGUCUGCCCAGCUGCUCCAAGCCAGGCUGAUGAAGGAGGAGUCCCCUGUGGUGAGCUGGAGGUUGGAGCCUGAAGAUGGCACAGCUCUCGAUGUGCAUUUUGUAAGCACUUUGGAGCCACUAUCAAAUGCUGUGAAGAGAAAUGUACCCAGAUGUAUCAUUAUCCUUGUGCUGCAGGAGCCGACACCUUUCAGGAUUUCAGUCACAUCUUCCUGCUUUGUCCAGAACACAUUGACCAAGCUCCUGAAAGAUCGAAGGAAGAUGCAAACUGUGCAGUGUGCGACAGCCCGGGAGACCUCUUAGAUCAGUUCUUUUGUACUACUUGUGGUCAGCACUAUCAUGGAAUGUGCCUGGAUACAGCGGUUACUCCAUUAAAACGUGCAGGUUGGCAAUGUCCUGAGUGCAAAGUGUGCCAGAACUGCAAACAAUCGGGAGAAGAUAGCAAGAUGCUAGUGUGUGAUACGUGUGACAAAGGGUAUCAUACUUUUUGUCUUCAACGAAUUAUGAAAUCUGUACCAACCAACGGCUGGAAAUGCAAAUGAAUACCGAAUUGGAAAAACAGAUUUCUAAUGAGGCUGAUAGUGAAGAAAUGAAAAUGUCUUCUGAAGUGAAGCAUAUUUGUGGCGAAGAUCAAAUUGAAGAUAAAAUGGAAGUGACAGAAAACAUUGAAGUCGUUACACACCAGAUCACUGUGCAGCAAGAGCAACUGCAGUUGUUAGAGGAACCUAAAACAGUGGUAUCCAAAGAAGAAUCAAGGCCUCCAAAAUUUGUCAUUGAAUCUGUCACUCUUCCACUAGAAACCUUAGUGUCCCCACAUGAGGAAAGCACUUCAUUAUGUCCUGAGGAACAGUUGGUUAUAGAAAGGCUACAAGGAGAAAAGGAACAGAAAGAAGAUUCUGAACUUUCUACUGGAUUGAUGGACUCUGAAAUGACUCCUACAAUUGAGGGUUGUGUGAAAGAUGUUUCAUACCAAGGAGGCAAAUCUAUAAAGUUAUCAUCUGAGACAGAGUCAUCAUUUUCAUUAUCAGCAGACAUAAGCAAGGCAGAUGUGUCUUCCUCCCCAACACCUUCUUCAGACUUGCCUUCGCAUGACAUGCUGCGUAAUUACCCUUCAGCUCUUAGUUCCUCUGCUGGAAACAUCAUGCCAACAACUUACAUCUCAGUCACUCCAAAAAACUGGCAUGGGUAAACCAGCUAUUACUAAGAGAAAAUUUUCUCCUGGUAGACCUCGGUCCAAACAGGAGGCUUGGAGUACCCAUAAUACAGUGAGCCCACCCUCGUGGUCCCCAGACAUUUCAGGAGGUCGGGAAAUUUUUAAACCCAGGCAGCUUCCUGGCAGUGCCAUUUGGAGCAUCAAAGUGGGCCAUGGGUCUGGAUUUCCAAGAAAGCGGAGACCUCGAGGUGCAGGACUGUCGGGGCGAGGUGGCCGAGGCAGGUCAAAGCUGAAAAGUGGAAUCGGAGCUGUUGUAUUGCCUGGGGUGUCUACUGCAGAUAUUUCAUCAAAUAAGGAUGAUGAAGAAAACUCUAUGCACACUACGGUUGUGUUGUUUUCUAGCAGUGACAAGUUCACUUUGAAUCAGGAUAUGUGUGUAGUUUGUGGCAGUUUUGGCCAAGGAGCAGAAGGAAGACUACUUGCCUGUUCUCAGUGUGGUCAGU